Molecule: non-coding RNA, 101 nt
Filed under: Micrococcales bacterium
Lineage: Bacteria; Bacillati; Actinomycetota; Actinomycetes; Micrococcales
Description: Glycine sequence
Rfam family: Glycine riboswitch aptamer
About the family: This family represents the bacterial glycine riboswitch. Glycine riboswitches usually consist of two metabolite-binding aptamers domains with similar structures in tandem. The aptamers cooperatively bind glycine to regulate the expression of downstream genes.
Source: RNAcentral
ACGCGCAGCGCGGGAGAGCCACCGGACGAGGAUCGUCCGGCCCGGCACCGUAGGAGCAAGCAUCCCCGCCAAUCUCUCAGGUCCCACACCGCGACCUGCGC